Molecule: unclassified non-coding RNA, 2499 nt
Filed under: Amphibalanus amphitrite
Lineage: Eukaryota; Metazoa; Arthropoda; Thecostraca; Balanomorpha; Balanidae
Description: small RNA 2'-O-methyltransferase-like, transcript variant X6
Source: RNAcentral
GUCGCAUCUGCGCUUUUUUUGUCGAGAUAGUCGAGAACGUCGAGAACGUCGAGAAGUGCUAGAUAAAUAGGAAUAAACGUUUGUAGCUAUUUUAUCACUGUAUAUUAUACAAAAAAUAAUCAGGUCCUGUUGCUGUUAAAUUACCCAUAGAAUUAAAACUCUUAUGGGAUAAAGGCUGUGGGAUCGUUUUUGAUGGAUAGACGAAGGUGAAGGUUACGCCAUGGACCAGGAUGACGAACUGCCAGCAGGGGCGGCGGCGGCGGCGGUUCCAGGACCGUCGGCGGGUCCCGGGAGUGUCGGCCUGCCGUCACCCGUGGCCGCGGCAGCGGCCCCCCACCGACCGGUGAUGGGGAUCCCGCCGGACCUGGACCACGGCGGCGACCACGAGCGGUGCACCAUGUUCGAGCCGGCGCUGUACAUCCAGCGCUACACCACCGUCUGCCGGCUGCUGGCCGACGUGCAGCGCUUCGGCGUCGUCAGGAAGGUGCUGGAUAUGGGCUGUUCCGAGAUGUCAUUUCUCCAGUUCCUGAAAAGUAUUCCAACACUGAGUGACAUAUGUCUGCUGGAUAUAUCAGAGGAGACGCUGCGCCGCCACCUGCACCGUGCCAGCCCGGGCGCCAGGGACCGUCUGGAGCGGCGGCUGCAGCCGCUGCGCGUGCGCGUCUUCUGCGGAGACGUGACGCGGCCAGACACCCGCCUCCUCGGCUGUGACGCCGUCACCGGCAUCGAAGUGAUCGAGCACCUGGAGUCGCCGGUGUUGCGCGCGCUGCCGGCUGCCCUGUUCGGGUUCCUGCGGCCCCGUCUGGUGGUCCUGACCACCCCUAACGCUGAGUUCAACGAGCUCUUCCCCGGGUUCACCGGCAUGCGUCACUGGGACCACAAAUUCGAGUGGACCCGGGCAGAGUUCCAGCAGUGGUGCGCCGGCGUGGUGUCCCAGUACCCCGAGUACGAGGUGACGUUUGACGGCAUUGGCCCGCCGCCGGCCGGCUCCGAGCGGCUGGGCUGCUGCUCCCAGAUGGCUGUCUUCCACCGCCGGGACGAACCCCCCGCCCCCGCCGCCGGGACCGGGACCGGGACCGGCGAGCAGCAGCCGCACCAGCUGCUGUCCGACCACCAGUUCCCCUUCGAGAGCCGCGAGGACCGCCUGUACAACGACGUGCUGUACCACGCGCGCCAGAUCGGGUACGGUCGGAUGGAGGCGGCGGCGGGGCCGCGCCGGGAGGAGCUGGUCCCACUGGCCAUGAUCGCCGACAUGCCGUCGGUGUCGGCGGCCGGCGCCUCACUGGACGAGCUGGCGGGUCUGCUGAGCGCGCGCGGUGAGCCGGUGGUGGUGCACGGCGGCCGGCCGCACGUGGUGUACCGGCCGCCGCCAGACGGCAGUGACAGUGAGGACGAACUGGCCGGCGGCGACCUGCGGCCCGCCGAGCCCGCCGUGGGCCGCCAGCCGGCCGCAGGAGCCGACAGCGCCGCCGGCGACGCCAGUUACCACGACGACUGGGACAACGAGCCCAACUGGGAGCAGGAGAUCAUGGACAGGCUGCGACUGGGACGGCCGCCCCGACCCCGUCCCGGGGUGGUCUGAGCCCUCCGAGACGGACGUCGUCGACCACCCGCCGGCCGCCGGCGCCCCUCAGAUACCAGGUUCCGUCCGACGUAUCCGCGCUGCCCUGCCGGCGUACCGUCUGAUGUUGGACCUGCUCCGCGCCUGCUUCCCCGGCUGCUGGGGCGCCCCGCUGGCCGCCGCCCUGCUGCCAUCUAUUGUCGCCGAACUGAACUAUAGGUGACGCGCCGCGCCGCCGCUCCCGUCUGCAGCUGAGUUUUGUGGACACCGACCCGGGGUAGGCCGGUGUGCCGGUUGUAUAGAUGUAUGCCUUGCGUUUGGCUGUGACAUGAUGGGGAAAUGUCAGGUAUUGAAGAGGGCAUCGAACAACGCAACGAGCUUACCUUUGCUGCACGGCAGGACUAGAUUAUCCUUGUGUUUGCUGCUGAGCUGCGCGAAAUCAAACGAAGAUGAAGUAUCACUUAAACGAUUUGCCCCACUGCUGCACUGUUUUAUGUUAUGUGUAGUUCCGCUGAAACCGUCUCAGUGUCGGGUUGCACUGCAUCCGAGUGUAGGCUGUGUGCUGUGUUUUAUUGUAACCGCUGUGAAGGCAAAGAGCAUCAUGAUCAUGUGAUAUCCAUCGUAGGUGCACACACUUCAUAUGUGAAUGUUCAUUGUGCUCCUAGUAAAUUGUUGCACUGUCAUUUUUGUUCUUGAAUAUUUAUAAGCACAUCUGUUCUUAAGCAUCGCUGAGUCCAGGUUGAGACUUUCCUUAUGAUCAAGCUCACUGUUAACGCCUUUGUUUUAACCGUCCGCGACCAAAAUCGUUUCAUUUCACUCGCGCGAGCCAUCUUAAUGAGCACUGAGCACUGCUGUUCGGGUAUUGAGGUACGGGUUGGCCGCCAGCUUUCAGUGUGCCGCGCUGAAUCGGGCCGCAAUAAACAACUUUUAUUUCUGAA